GCGGGGAUCAGCUUCCUUCAGCUCCAGCAGCGCCAAGCGUGGCUCUCGGUUUUGUCGGGUUUUCGCUCUCUUUUGUUGAUGGGUUUUGUUUGGCUUUUUUGCCCCCUGAGGUUCCCUGAGGACCGAGCCCUCGCCGAGAGGCCGAGAAGAGGAAGGGGGUAGGGGAAAGGCCGGUGCCGGCCUCCUCUUGUCAGCAGAGCAGGAGUGGAAAGUUGCACGAAGGCAUGAAUGUAAUGUAAAUAAAUGACUCCGACUCCGAAAACAAACAGACAGACAGACAAAAAAGAAAAAAAAAAAAAAAAAAAGUGCUGCAUGGCUCGCAUGGAUACAACGCACCCCAGGGACGCUCCAGCCCCCGACUGGAAGCAGCGUCUAGUUCACAUCAUCAUCCCUCUUACCUGAUAAGUCCCUUCGUAUCAAACCUUCUAUAUACGAAAUACAGUAUGAUAAUAAAAAGUGCCAUUUCGCCAUUUUUGUGUGAUCAAUAGGCAGUAGAGAUCGUACUUUUACCGUGGAAAAAAUUGUAAAGGUUUUAUUUAAGACACAGUUGCAUGAAUAUUCUCAUCGGAUCAUUUCCUUCUUUCUUGUUUUCUUUCCUUUUUUGGGAGGGGGAGGGGAAGUGGGAAUUACUUUGUUGGGAGAGAUUUGCUUUGCUGCUGGUGGGUUUGGUUCUUUUUUUUUUUUUAUCUGGGGGGGGGGCACCUUGGUUUUCUUUUCACUCUCUUCUUUUUCAAUAUACAUAUUCAGUAUUGCUUUUCCAUCUGAACGUAAAAAUUAGUACCCUUGAUUUCUAUUAUGGUAACAGUGCAAACAGUCAAAAAAAAAAAAAUCCGAGGCAGUUAAGCAUGACCAAUUAAUGUCACUCUAGUGCUUAGGCUGCAAAGUUUAAUGGUAGAAAAUUCUGUGCUGUUGUAAAUCUUACUAUAAUUUGAGGAAAUCAGAACUGAGGAAGCAAGUGAAACUUACUAAUUCUAUUCGAGGAUUUUAUAAUGGCAUAUUUUUUCAGUAUUAAAGUGAAAAUGUUUUCAA
This is a non-coding RNA of Struthio camelus australis, 1029 nucleotides long. Lineage: Eukaryota; Metazoa; Chordata; Aves; Struthioniformes; Struthionidae. The record is from RefSeq and is a predicted model, not a curated record.